This 1166-nucleotide long non-coding RNA is filed under the name Homo sapiens (human). RNAcentral describes it as "HSALNT0394426". Lineage: Eukaryota; Metazoa; Chordata; Mammalia; Primates; Hominidae. The record is from RNAcentral.
GGUAACCCACUGGGUCACCUACCACAGGGUGGAAGCUUUGUUCUUUUGCUCUUUGCAAUAAGUCUUGCUGCUGCUCACUUUUUGGGUCCACAGUGCCUUUAUGAGCUGUAAUACUCACUGCGAAGGUCUACAGCUUCACUCCUGAGGCCAGCGAGACCAUGAGCCCACCAGCAGGAAUGAACAACUCCGGACGGGAGGAAGAAACAACUCCAGAUGCGCUGCCUUAAGAGCUGUAACACUCACCUUGAAGGUUUGCAGCUUCACUCUUGAAGCCAACGAGACCACGAACCCACCAGAAGGAAGAAACUCCGAACAUGAUCAGAAGGAACAAACUCCAGACACAUCACCUUUAAGAACUGUAACGCUCACCACGAGGGUCUGCAGCUUCAUUCUUGAAAUCUAGCACGGAUGGAGCCCUGAAGUUUCUGAGGCUCCCCAAAGGAAUUAAAAGCUUGGUAGAAAAGGGUGGAAUGCCCAGGGGCCAGCAAUGAUGAGAUGGAGAGAGACUUGCUGGGAUGGAUGCUGGGGGUGACUGCCCAACCAGAGACCAAAGGAAGGCAGCGUUUACAAAGCCAAACCUUGGAGCUCUGCACAGCACCUAGGCCAAAAGCAAUCAACAGCCCAAGCCCACACAACAGCACAUUAGAAAACAUGCCAGCUUCCCUCACAUCACGAAGUCAAAGAAACGAAAACCGCAAGGCUGAAUUGCGCAAUGCCUAGAACACGAGAAAGAAACAAAAUGGAAAGAAGAAACUCAUUUAAAGGGCAAGUAAUUAUUGACAAUUAUACACGAUUGAGAGAUAAGCUUCAAUUUUAAUACAAAAUAUAGCCAAACUUGUUUCUUGAACUUGCAUAAACGCACUCAUCAGACACCUUAAGGAAGUCAAGACUUACUGUUGAAUCCUACCUUCAUUGGCUUGUAGGAACACUGACAUGAACUCUGAUCAUCUACACACUGAUGAUAUCCUAGAUAGAACAGCAGUCAGCAAAUGUUUUCUGUAAAAAGCCAAAUAGAAAAUAUUUUAGACUUUGUGAGCCAUGCAGCCUCUGUCACAACUACUCAAUUCUCUGUUGUACAAUAAAUAUGUGAAUGAGAAUAGUUGUUCCAAUAAAACUUUAUUUAUAAAAAUAAGUGGUGGGCCUUAGUUUGCCAACCUCUGCCCUAG